CAAUGGCGGCACCGCUGCUUCACACGCGUUUGCCGGGAGAUGCGGCCGCUUCGCCCUCUGCAGUCAAGAUGCUGGGCGCGUCGAGGACUGGUGUUCAGUUUGGUGGAACUGUGACAGAAGUCUUGCUGAAGUACAAAACGGGUGAAACAAAUGACUUUGAGUUGUUGAAGAACCAGCUGUUAGAUCCAGACAUAAAGGAUGACCAGAUCAUCAACUGGCUGAGAUUGCCUUGGUUGAAUAGAAGUCAAACAGUAGUGGAAGAGUAUUUGGCUUUUCUUGGUAAUCUUG
RNAcentral lists this long non-coding RNA (288 nucleotides) under Homo sapiens (human). RNAcentral describes it as "non-protein coding lnc-SLX1B-3:7". Lineage: Eukaryota; Metazoa; Chordata; Mammalia; Primates; Hominidae. The record is from RNAcentral.